RNAcentral lists this ribosomal RNA (252 nucleotides) under uncultured bacterium. RNAcentral's name for it is "partial 16S ribosomal RNA". It matches the Rfam family "Bacterial small subunit ribosomal RNA", at positions 524 to 775 of the family's 1533-position model. The record is from RNAcentral.
UACGGAGGGUGCAAGCGUUGUCCGGAAUCACUGGGCGUAAAGGGCGCGUAGGCGGCUCAUGAAGGCUGUGGUGAAAGUCCGGGGCUCAACCUCGGAUCGGCCGUGGCGACUCGUGGGCUGGAGCACUGUAGAGGCGGGUGGAAUUCCGGGUGUAGCGGUGGAAUGCGCAGAUAUCAGGAGGAACACCAAUAGCGAAGGCAGCUCGCUGGGACGUUACUGACACUGAGGCGCGAAAGCGUGGGGAGCGAACAG